Long non-coding RNA from Cyprinodon tularosa, 657 nucleotides. RefSeq lists it as uncharacterized. NCBI's taxonomy places the organism in Eukaryota, Metazoa, Chordata, Actinopteri, Cyprinodontiformes, Cyprinodontidae. The record is from RefSeq and is a predicted model, not a curated record. The transcript has 3 exons.
AAACCAGGAAGAGAAGACUUCUGAUCUGGGGACCGCCAUGGAAAAGAACAGUAAUUCUUCAGAGAUUGAGGACAUUAUCUCCAAAAGUGAUCUAGUUUGUCCAGGUCCUCCUAAGAUCUAUCAGCUGAAAACAAAGAAAGAGAAGAUUAAAUCUCUGACAAAAUUAACUGUUGGAGACAAAAAUUAGAACAAAACAAAAACCAUCUUGCUUGUUGGUGAAAGAGGAGCUGGAAAAUCCAAUUUUGUCAAUGCUUUGUUCAACUACGCUGUGGGUGUAAAAUUUGAGGAUGAGAUCUGGUUUCAGAUAGUUGAGGAGAAAGAGGACAGAAGUCAGGCAGGAAGUCGGACAUCAGAUGUUGUCGUCUAUCAGAUAUAUGAUUCUGAGGAUCAAACACUGCCAUUCUCUCUGACCAUCAUUGAUACUCCUGGAUAUGGAGAUGCAGGGUUGGAACAACAAUUACUGGAAUUAUUCCAAUCAGAUGAUGGAAUCCAUGAAGUUCAUGCAGUAGGUCUGGUCAUUGAGGAGGGGGGUAAUGUCGUCAGUGACCAACUGAAGAACAUCUAUGAUUUCAUUUUGUCCCGGUUUGGAAACGAUGUGGAGAAAAAUGUUGUAGCUCUCCUGACAAACUCAAAUGGAAAACAAGCUGAAAAGGUUCU